UGUAGUCAUAUGCUUGUCUCAAAGAUUAAGCCAUGCAUGUCUAAGUAUAAACAAUUUUGUACUGUGAAACUGCGAAUGGCUCAUUAUAUCAGUUAUAGUCUACUCGAUAGUACCUUACUACUUGGAUAACCGUAAUAAUUCUAGAGCUAAUACAUGCACAAAUACCCAACUGCUUGUCGGACGGGUAGCAUUUAUUAGAUUGAAACCAAUGCAGUCUUCGGGCUGGUAUUGUGUUGAGUCAUAAUAACUGUGCGGAUCGCACUCAGUGCGAUAAAUCGAUUGAGUUUCUGCCCUAUCAGCUUUGGAUGGUAGGAUAUGGGCCUACCAUGGCAUCAACGGGUAACGGGGAAUGGGGCGGGGGCGGCGGGCCGGGCGCGGGGCGCGGCGGGCG
This 391-nucleotide ribosomal RNA is filed under the name uncultured Pythium. RNAcentral describes it as "bacterial SSU rRNA". It matches the Rfam family "Eukaryotic small subunit ribosomal RNA", at positions 21 to 375 of the family's 1831-position model. The record is from RNAcentral. Lineage: Eukaryota; Oomycota; Peronosporomycetes; Pythiales.